AAUCCAAGGAAAUGAAGCAGAAUUUCAAAUAUCAAACGUGGAAUUUGAUUGGCUCUAAAACCAACCACUAAAAUCAAAAGAACAUUUUGCAAAAAUAAGCAAAAAACAUAUAAUAAUUCGCAUAAAAAUCAAAUAUGAAGCACAAUCCAUCAAGACC
Hibiscus syriacus is the source of this 157-nucleotide long non-coding RNA. RefSeq lists it as uncharacterized. NCBI's taxonomy places the organism in Eukaryota, Viridiplantae, Streptophyta, Magnoliopsida, Malvales, Malvaceae. The transcript has 3 exons. The record is from RefSeq and is a predicted model, not a curated record.